RNAcentral lists this ribosomal RNA (837 nucleotides) under Streptomyces sp. IM-6866. Its description in RNAcentral is "bacterial SSU rRNA". It matches the Rfam family "Bacterial small subunit ribosomal RNA", at positions 38 to 889 of the family's 1533-position model. Lineage: Bacteria; Bacillati; Actinomycetota; Actinomycetes; Kitasatosporales; Streptomycetaceae. The record is from RNAcentral.
GGCGGCGUGCUUAACACAUGCAAGUCGAACGAUGAACCUCUUCGGAGGGGAUUAGUGGCGAACGGGUGAGUAACACGUGGGCAAUCUGCCCUUCACUCUGGGACAAGCCCUGGAAACGGGGUCUAAUACCGGAUACGACCUCCGACCGCAUGGUCUGGUGGUUGAAAGCUCCGGCGGUGAAGGAUGAGCCCGCGGCCUAUCAGCUUGUUGGUGGGGUGAUGGCCUACCAAGGCGACGACGGGUAGCCGGCCUGAGAGGGCGACCGGCCACACUGGGACUGAGACACGGCCCAGACUCCUACGGGAGGCAGCAGUGGGGAAUAUUGCACAAUGGGCGAAAGCCUGAUGCAGCGACGCCGCGUGAGGGAUGACGGCCUUCGGGUUGUAAACCUCUUUCAGCAGGGAAGAAGCGAGAGUGACGGUACCUGCAGAAGAAGCGCCGGCUAACUACGUGCCAGCAGCCGCGGUAAUACGUAGGGCGCAAGCGUUGUCCGGAAUUAUUGGGCGUAAAGAGCUCGUAGGCGGCUUGUCGCGUCGGAUGUGAAAGCCCGGGGCUUAACCCCGGGUCUGCAUUCGAUACGGGCAGGCUAGAGUUCGGUAGGGGAGAUCGGAAUUCCUGGUGUAGCGGUGAAAUGCGCAGAUAUCAGGAGGAACACCGGUGGCGAAGGCGGAUCUCUGGGCCGAUACUGACGCUGAGGAGCGAAAGCGUGGGGAGCGAACAGGAUUAGAUACCCUGGUAGUCCACGCCGUAAACGUUGGGAACUAGGUGUUGGCGACAUUCCACGUCGUCGGUGCCGCAGCUAACGCAUUAAGUUCCCCGCCUGGGGAGUACGGCCGC